This 524-nucleotide ribosomal RNA is filed under the name uncultured bacterium. RNAcentral's name for it is "bacterial SSU rRNA". It matches the Rfam family "Bacterial small subunit ribosomal RNA", at positions 35 to 591 of the family's 1533-position model. The record is from RNAcentral.
GCUGGCGGCGUGCCUAACACAUGCAAGUCGAACGAGAAAGUGGAGCAAUCCAUGAGUAAAGUGGCGACCGGGUGAGUAACACGUGACUAACCUACCUCCGAGUGGGGAAUAACUCCGGGAAACCGGGGCUAAUACCGCAUAACAUCGCAAGAUCAAAGCAGCAAUGCGCUUGGAGAGGGGGUCGCGGCUGAUUAGCUCGUUGGCGGGGUAACGGCCCACCAAGGCGAAGAUCGGUAUCCGGCCUGAGAGGGCGCACGGACACACUGGAACUGAAACACGGUCCAGACUCCUACGGGAGGCAGCAGUGGGGAAUUUUGCGCAAUGGGGGAAACCCUGACGCAGCAACGCCGCGUGGAGGAUGAAGCCCUUUGGGGCGUAAACUCCUUUCGACUCGGACGAUAAUGACGGUACGAGUGGAAGAAGCACCGGCUAACUCUGUGCCAGCAGCCGCGGUAAUACAGAGGGUGCGAGCGUUGUUCGGAAUUAUUGGGCGUAAAGGGCGCGUANGCGGUGCGGUAAGUCAC